Molecule: unclassified non-coding RNA, 364 nt
Filed under: uncultured fungus
Lineage: Eukaryota; Fungi
Description: partial contains 5.8S ribosomal RNA, internal transcribed spacer 2, and large subunit ribosomal RNA
Source: RNAcentral
AACGCAAGUUGCGCCCGAGGCCACCCGACCGAGGGCACGCCUGCCUGGGCGUCAUGCCAAGCGAUGCUCCGAUGCCCCGGAGGCCCGCGAUAGGCUUCCCGGGGAAGUCGGACGCGCUCAAUGGCUCCCCAUGCCCCUCCCGGUGCGGCAGGCCAAAGAUCGAGCCGCUGGCGGGGGCCGGACAUGGCGGAUGGUGGACGCUCAUGCGAUCCUGUCACCGUGCCGUCGGAACCCGGAGAUGGAGGCAGGCCCUCCUACCCCCGCACCCCCCCACCAAAGCGCACGCCACUCCUGGGCCCCGGGCCGGGGGUGGCGCGCCUCGGAUCGCGACCCCAGGUCAGGCGGGAACACCCGCCGAGCUUAA